RNAcentral lists this ribosomal RNA (795 nucleotides) under uncultured archaeon. RNAcentral describes it as "bacterial SSU rRNA". It matches the Rfam family "Archaeal small subunit ribosomal RNA", at positions 85 to 879 of the family's 1478-position model. The record is from RNAcentral.
ACGGCUCAGUAACACGUAGUCAACCUACCCUAUGGACGGGAAUAACCUCGGGAAACUGAGAAUAAUGCCCGAUAGAACAUUAUGCCUGGAAUGGUUUAUGUUCCAAAUGAUUUAUCGCCGUAGGAUGGGACUGCGGCCUAUCAGUUUGUUGGUGAGGUAAUGGCCCACCAAGACUAUUACAGGUACGGGCUCUGAGAGGAGUGGCCCGGAGAUGGGUACUGAGACACGGACCCAGGCCCUAUGGGGCGCAGCAGGCGAGAAAACUUUGCAAUGUGCGAAAGCACGACAAGGUUAAUCCGAGUGGUUUCUGCUAAAGGAACCUUUUGUCGGUCCUAGAAACACCGAUGAAUAAGGGGUGGGCAAGUUCUGGUGUCAAGCCCGCCGCGGUAAAACCAGCACCUCAAGUUGUAGGAUGAUUAUUGGGCCUAAAGCAUCCGAGCCGGCUCUGUUAGUUUUCGGUUAAAUCUAUACGCUCAACGUAUAGGCUGCCGGGAAUACUGCAGAGCUAGGGAGUGGGAGAGGUAGACGGUACUCGGUAGGAAGGGGUAAAAUCCUUUGAUCAUAUUGAUGACCACCUGUGGCGAAGGCGGUCUACCAGAACACGUCCGACGGUGAGGGAUGAAAGCUGGGGGAGCAAACCGGAUUAGAUACCCGGGUAGUCCCAGCUGUAAACUAUGCAAACUCACGUGAUGCAUUGGCUUGUGGCCAAUGCAGUGCUGCAGGGAAGCCGUUAAGUUUGCCGCCUGGGAAGUACGUACGCAAGUAUGAAACUUAAAGGAAUUGGCGGGGGAGCAC